GAAUUCAACUCCUACGGGAGGCAGCAGUGGGGAAUCUUCGGCAAUGGACGAAAGUCUGACCGAGCAACGCCGCGUGAGUGAAGAAGGUUUUCGGAUCGUAAAACUCUGUUGUUAGAGAAGAACAAGGACGUUAGUAACUGAACGUCCCCUGACGGUAUCUAACCAGAAAGCCACGGCUAACUACGUGCCAGCAGCCGCGGUAAUACGUAGGUGGCAAGCGUUGUCCGGAUUUAUUGGGCGUAAAGCGAGCGCAGGCGGUUUCUUAAGUCUGAUGUGAAAGCCCCCGGCUCAACCGGGGAGGGUCAUUGGAAACUGGGAGACUUGAGUGCAGGAGAGGAGAGUGGAAUUCCAUGUGUAGCGGUGAAAUGCGUAGAUAUAUGGAGGAACACCAGUGGCGAAGGCGGCUCUCUGGUCCGUAACUGACGCUGAGGCUCGAAAGCGUGGGGAGCGAACAGGAUUAGAAACCCCAGUAGUCCAGGCGUU
RNAcentral lists this ribosomal RNA (483 nucleotides) under uncultured bacterium. RNAcentral describes it as "bacterial SSU rRNA". It matches the Rfam family "Bacterial small subunit ribosomal RNA", at positions 328 to 803 of the family's 1533-position model. The record is from RNAcentral.